GGGUUUGAUAAAGUUGAUUGCUUUAUCAAGAAAAAUACACAUGAGUUGUGAUAGAUAAUUAAUUAAAUUAACCCUACCUAUGAAUGAUAAGAUGGAACUAACUCUGUAUAAAAAUUAAGUAUGAAAUGAUGAAAGUAAUGGUAAACAUAGGGGUGCGAACUUCUGACACGACAUGAACCUAACACGAAAUUCACGGGUUUGGGUUUAGUCUAAACAGGUUCAGGUCAGUUUCAGGUUGAACCCGCAAACCCGUUUAGCUAAACAGGCCGGGUCCGUGUCAACCCGAUCGGGUUGGCGGGUUGACCCGUUUAACCCAUUUGUAUUAUAUUUAUUUUUAACAAUAUGUUUUAUGUCAUAUAUUAAAUUGGGUGUGUAUUUUAUUCCAUAAUUAAAAAGAGAAGUUGACAUAAGAUUUUCUAAAUUAUAUGUAAUUGCAUUGUGUACAUUUGUGUUUUUUAGUAAAAAUUUUAAUUUUAAUAUAAUAAUUUGCGAAAAAAAAAAUUAAAAAAAAAUAAAAAACUUCGGGUUGAACGGAUCAUGUUCGGGUCAACCCGCGAAUAAUCGGGUCGUGUUCAGGUUCAUCUAAAAUUUUAAUUUUCGGAUCUGGUUGAACCCGCCAGGCGCCAACACGCAAACACGACUCAUUUAGCACCCCUAGGUAAUCACUAGUAUAUCUAAAUUUAAUUAAACAAGAAAAACAGGAAUAAAAAUCUUGACUCGAAUGCAAUUGAAGACAAGAUUUCAUCCAUAUGCUUCUAGGGUUUUGGUAUUCUAUCCCUCUAAGGCCUCAUCACCAACCAUUAUAUAGAAAGUGUGGAAGUAAAUACGCAGAUAUUACGCAUAGGAUCCGGCCCCUUUUCAACAAACUUGAAUUAAACUUUUCCUCAUAAAUUAAGAAAAUUAAAGACCAAAUUUAUUGUUUAUAACAAUAAUAAUCUUAUACAAACACUACACCUAUCUUGGUUUAAACAAGCGCGCCUAAGGUGCGCCUAGGCGCGAGUCGCCAUCAGGCGCAUGCCUCAGCGCCUCAGCCUACACAAGGUGCAAGUUUUACAAAAAGCGCACACGAGGCCCCUUUUUUUGGCAAAAGGUUAACCCUGAGGCACGUGCCUCAUGUAUUUCCAUCAUUUUUGUGCGGUAGAUUGUUGUAAAACAUGCUUUUCAGGUUGUAGAUGUAUAUAAAUUUAAUUUGAAAUCAUAUAUAAAGCUUAUUUGUGUCUAAAUAUUGGGCAAAUGAUGCUAGAAACCUAUAGGAAAUAUAUAAAACGUUAUAUAAUUAUUUGAACCUUGGGCACGAAAAGUGGGGCCCUUUUGCUCUUGCCGUUUCGGGCCUUGGUUUUAGACCUUGUUGCUUUUGUGCCUUUCUCUCUUUAUAAAACCAAGACAACUACAAAUUUAUUUAAAAAAAAAUAGUUCAUGACAAAAUGAACCUUAACUAUUGUUUACCUGGUUUUGAAAAGCGAGAGGAGCACCGAGGCGAUAGAGUCCCUAGCCAAGGUGCAAGGCGCUAAAGCACGCCGCUUCAAAUUUCUGCGCACGGUAUUUAUAUAAACUUCCUUAUAUUUUGCAUACGCUUCUAUGGCACCUACCCAAAACAUAGGUACAAAUAAGCUCUGUAUAUGAUACUUUUAUAUACGUAACCUAUAUGUACAACAUCCUAAUGCACAAAAUCUUCCAUGAGGCGCACCUCAUACAUGCGCCUCAUGACCACCGAUCGCCACCGGCAGUCAGAAGCUCAAGGACUUGUGCCUGAGUGUGCCUCUCGCCAAGGGCAAACUUUUUAAAACUAAGUUUGUCGGCGGCAAUACCGACUACCACGAUGGUUUUCUGGGGUUUCAAUUGCAUGUUGCAUGCAAACCAUAUGGUUCUACUAUGAAUGUAAACCAUAUGGUCGUAUGGCUAUUACAAGAAGCAAUUUGUGGUGGUUGCUGAGUUCUCGUCGAGCAAGUUGUUUCUGAUAGGGUAUGGUGAUACGUGAAGAUAACAAAAAAGACAAAUUAAUGGAGGUUCCGUCCUUAUUUCUUCCGAGUGUUGGAUUUUCACACAACCUAGAUUUAUUGACAAUCUACACAUACAAUG
Molecule: long non-coding RNA, 2079 nt
Filed under: Helianthus annuus (common sunflower)
Lineage: Eukaryota; Viridiplantae; Streptophyta; Magnoliopsida; Asterales; Asteraceae
Description: hypothetical non coding rna
Source: RNAcentral